UACAUAGCGGCCAGGCCUGGACUCCCAGGCGAACCCCUUCCCACCACAGCCAGGCCUGGACUCCCAGGCGAACCCCUUCCCACCGCAGCCUGGCCUGGACUCCCAGGAGCACCACCGCCCACUGCAGCCUGGUCUGGACUCCCAGGAGAACCCUUUCCCACUGCAGCCUGGCCUGGACUCCCAGGAGCACCACCGCCCACUGCAGCCUGGCCUGGACUCCCAGGAGCACCACUGCCCACUGCAGCAUGGCCUGGACCCCCAGGAGGACCCCCAUACAUAGCAGCCAGGCCUGGACCCCCAGGAAGACCUCU
RNAcentral lists this long non-coding RNA (311 nucleotides) under Sarcophilus harrisii (Tasmanian devil). Its description in RNAcentral is "lncRNA (ENSSHAG00000022789.1)". The record is from RNAcentral. Lineage: Eukaryota; Metazoa; Chordata; Mammalia; Dasyuromorphia; Dasyuridae.